UAUCCAAGUUUCUAUAAGAGGGUGAAC
RNAcentral lists this small RNA (27 nucleotides) under Bombyx mori (domestic silkworm). RNAcentral's name for it is "ovarian small RNA-23564". Lineage: Eukaryota; Metazoa; Arthropoda; Insecta; Lepidoptera; Bombycidae. The record is from RNAcentral.